This 285-nucleotide unclassified non-coding RNA is filed under the name plant metagenome. RNAcentral describes it as "partial contains small subunit ribosomal RNA, internal transcribed spacer 1, and 5.8S ribosomal RNA". The stretch from base 1 to 54 matches the Rfam family "Eukaryotic small subunit ribosomal RNA", at positions 1778 to 1831 of the family's 1831-position model. The record is from RNAcentral.
GGAAGAAAAAGUCGUAACAAGGUUUCCGUAGGUGAACCUGCGGAAGGAUCAUUAUUGUAUAACCGAGGUGCGAGGGCUGUCGCUGACCCGAAAGGUCGUGCACGCCCGAGUGCCCUCACACACAUCCAUCUCACCCCUAUGUGCACCACCGCGUGGGUCCCCCUUUGGCUUGUUCGGAGGGGGGCUUACGUUUUCACACAAACUUUGUAUGCAGUGUAGAAUGUAUUUUUUGUUUUUGCGAUCACGCAAUCAAUACAACUUUCAACAACGGAUCUCUUGGCUCUC